GACGAACGCUGGCGGCGUGCUUAACACAUGCAAGUCGAACGGAAAGGCCCUGCUUUUGUGGGGUGCUCGAGUGGCGAACGGGUGAGUAACACGUGAGUAACCUGCCCUUGACUUUGGGAUAACUUCAGGAAACUGGGGCUAAUACCGGAUAGGAGCUCCUGCUGCAUGGUGGGGGUUGGAAAGUUUCGGCGGUUGGGGAUGGACUCGCGGCUUAUCAGCUUGUUGGUGGGGUAGUGGCUUACCAAGGCUUUGACGGGUAGCCGGCCUGAGAGGGUGACCGGCCACAUUGGGACUGAGAUACGGCCCAGACUCCUACGGGAGGCAGCAGUGGGGAAUAUUGCACAAUGGGCGGAAGCCUGAUGCAGCAACGCCGCGUGCGGGAUGACGGCCUUCGGGUUGUAAACCGCUUUCGCCUGUGACGAAGCGUGAGUGACGGUAAUGGGUAAAGAAGCACCGGCUAACUACGUGCCGGCAGCCGCGGUGAUACGUAGGGUGCGAGCGUUGUCCGGAUUUAUUGGGCGUAAAGGGCUCGUAGGUGGUUGAUCGCGUCGGAAGUGUAAUCUUGGGGCUUAACCCUGAGCGUGCUUUCGAUACGGGUUGACUUGAGGAAGGUAGGGGAGAAUGGAAUUCCUGGUGGAGCGGUGGAAUGCGCAGAUAUCAGGAGGAACACCAGUGGCGAAGGCGGUUCUCUGGGCCUUUCCUGACGCUGAGGAGCGAAAGCGUGGGGAGCGAACAGGCUUAGAUACCCUGGUAGUCCACGCUGUAAACGGUGGGUACUAGGUGUGGGGUCCAUUCCACGGGUUCCGUGCCGUAGCUAACGCUUUAAGUACCCCGCCUGGGGAGUACGGCCGCAAGGCUAAAACUCAAAGGAAUUGACGGGGCCCCGCACAAGCGGCGGAGCAUGCGGAUUAAUUCGAUGCAACGCGUAGAACCUUACCUGGGUUUGACAUGGAUCGGGAGUGCUCAGAGAUGGGUGUGCCUCUUUUGGGGUCGGUUCACAGGUGGAGCAUGCCUGUCGUCAGCUCGUGUCGUGAGAUGUUGGGUUAAGUCCCGCAACGAGCGCAACCCUUGUUCACUGUUGCCAGCACGUUAUGGUGGGGACUCAGUGGAGACCGCCGGGGUCAACUCGGAGGAAGGUGGGGAUGACGUCAAGUCAUCAUGCCCCUUAUGUCCAGGGCUUCACGCAUGCUACAAUGGCUGGUACAGAGAGUGGCGAGCCUGUGAGGGUGAGCGAAUCUCGGAAAGCCGGUCUCAGUUCGGAUUGGGGUCUGCAACUCGACCUCAUGAAGUCGGAGUCGCUAGUAAUCGCAGAUCAGCAACGCUGCGGUGAAUACGUUCCCGGGGCU
Molecule: ribosomal RNA, 1346 nt
Filed under: uncultured bacterium
Lineage: Bacteria
Description: partial 16S ribosomal RNA
Rfam family: Bacterial small subunit ribosomal RNA
Source: RNAcentral